CGAAGGCGCAACUGAAAAAA
This 20-nucleotide ribosomal RNA is filed under the name Hindakia tetrachotoma. RNAcentral's name for it is "partial 28S ribosomal RNA". The record is from RNAcentral. Lineage: Eukaryota; Viridiplantae; Chlorophyta; Trebouxiophyceae; Chlorellales; Chlorellaceae.